Non-coding RNA from Myodes glareolus (Bank vole), 5113 nucleotides. Lineage: Eukaryota; Metazoa; Chordata; Mammalia; Rodentia; Cricetidae. The record is from RefSeq and is a predicted model, not a curated record.
CCAAGACACAAAGUCAGCAGGUGGUGGGUCAUGUGAUCAGGCCUGGCCUCUAGGUGGCGCUGUUGAGCACGCCAGCGGCUCUGCAAAAGGCCAACUAACUAGAGGAUGGAAGGGCAGGGCAGGUGCCCAGUCCAGAGAGGAGGGGUUGAAGAUGACAAGGUUUGGAGCUCCAGGGACUGGGUGGUGGCAGUGCUAUUAAAGGAAACAGGGAAGUCCGGAGGAGGAGCAGGAUUGGGGCCAGGAGCUGAUGAGUUCAUCCUUAGACAUGCUGACCCUGAUCUGCUAACAGUGGGAUAUUUCAGCUGAGGUCUAGCCACAAUUCAGUGAGGAAAAAUUAAGACCUGGUAAAUAUCCCUGACCAAAGCCAAAUCCCCAAGCUACUCUUGUUGUGUCCAAGGUUCCCUGGCCUGGGGCUGAGACUGCAGUGUUUGAAUGGUAGCCGCCUAGGCCCAAAUUCAAGUCAUGCACUGACCACUGGGGGUCACCACUUUGCAAAGACUUGGUGAAGCUGCCGAGGCAUGCCCACCAGACAACCUAGAAGAGGGUUUAGAGCCAGGAUCCCCUUCACAGGAGACAGAGGUCUUUCCCCAAGAGUCUGAUUAACCUUCUCCGUCUGGCUCUAAUGACCUUGGAACUGGGAAGGAAAAGCCACAGAGCCCCCUCACCUCAAGGGCUCUGAGAACAAUUUUCCCAGCCACCCUGGGGGACACAGUGUUCAGGGAUCCAGUGACCUCGCUGGGAGCAGGAGCCCAGCUGUUUCAAGCCUCCACAUGUCUCCCCUGACAUUUGCGUCAGCAACUCUGCCCUUUGACUUUUCCCUCCCCAGAGAGGAGGGAGGAGGCAAUUGGGACUAAUUAUUUGCAGUUCGAUUUGGCCAGCAGUUUAUUGGGGUUUGGCCUGGCUUUCUGGUCUCCCGCACCCCAACUUUAUGGUCUUGGUCUCCCAGGGAAGCUAAAGAACAGAAGGCAGAGUGGUUUCUUGGUCUCCUGGUGCUGAGAGCCCUGUGGGAAGACACCCUCCCUCCUGCCCCUCCUCGCUGUCUUGAUGUCCAUCUCCAGUCUCACACUUGGAAACCUUCUGCCACCGCCCAGCCUUAGGCUUCCCGGUGGACUUUCCAAAGACAGUCCCACAAGCAGUAACUGCUCUUGGGAGGAGCUUAAUAGAAGCCCAACAAAGCUCCUGAAUGGAAGACCACACUGGGUGAUGUCCCCUGCCCAACCCUCUCCCAGACCACUGGUGGGAGUUCUGGGGUCCAGUAAGAAAAGCCAGGGGAAUUCUGGGAGUUCUGUGUGAUGGCUGUGACCUGGCUUCAAUGCAGUAUUGGUACCAGGGGUUGCAUCUGCAAGAUUACUCCAGAUACCAGGACUGCCGGCUUCAUUCUCUCUGGCUCAGAGCAGGAGCAGACCCAGGCUGGGGAGUCCUAUAUUGUAAAUAAAGCUGCCGCCCAGAAUAGUCCAGAAAUUUGCAACCCUGGAAGUGAGGCAACAGGAGUAUCUGAAGCGUCUGAAGCACCUUCCCGCAGACUCACCUCCCCCUACACACAUACACACACACACACACACACACACACACACACACACACACACACACACACGACUGGAUCCACCCUGAGGAGCCACCCACGGGUCAACAUCCUGCUUCCGGCAGACCCUCCUCCUGGAGACCUCACAGAGGGGUGUUCGUUCGCAGUGGGCGACGGGAGAGAUGCUAAUCGCCACAGAUCGGCGCUGCUCUGGGCUGAAGGUCAGGAGCACUCGGGAAGAAUAACAAGUAGAAGACUGAAGUUCAGGGUCAUCCUUGACUACCUGUAGAAUCUGAGACUACCUGGACUACACGAAACCUUGACUCAAAAACAAACAAAAAGGACCCCUCAAGUCAGCACGAACCACCACCAGAAAAGCUCAUCAAAAAAUCCUCUCACUGACAACUCUUACAGGUCAAACUCAGGACAGAGAAAGCUUGUCUCCCCGGCAGGCAGCCCGGAGUCUGGCCAGCGUCUGGCCAGCAAUGGCAUCUCCCAGGGAGCCUCUAGGCGCCCUCAGCAUGCUCCAUAACCUCCAUUACGGCUCCUCGCCCCUGCAGCCUCCAUCUUGCAGGGCUCACCAUGCACCUGCAACUCAAGGCAGAGCCGGGCCUGGGGCAGCCAGCACCCCAAGAUUCAACACUGGUUAGUCAAAUGGUCUGAAGAGUUUGCUGCAUUUGGGAGAGGGGCAAGUGUAGAGGGUGUGCAUGGGAGGCAGUAGGCGUUGUCAGGGGCUGCUGUAGUGAGGUGGGGUGAGCAUCAACUCUGGAGGACACUGUCUAGAUGGGAGGCCUCACAGGCCCUUGCCCUCCGUCCCAAGGGUUUAAGGGAGACUGGGCUUUUUACUUAAUCUCUUAUUACAGUGCUAGACAUUGGCCUCGGGCCUCACAUAUUCAAGGUAGGCACUCUGACUAUGAGGUAUAGAGUCUCAGCUAAGUUACCCAGCCUGGCUUUGAACUUGCUGUGCAGGCUAGGCAGGCCUUGAACUUUUGCUCCCGCUGCAUCAGCUUCUGUGCCCCCACACGCAGCCACCGAUGUGUUUCUCUAGCAAGAACACUCUCUGGAUGUUCGGGAGCACAGGAGACAAGAAGAACAAGGCCUGGGUUAUAAACAAGUGGUGCCGUGGUGGAGGUUUCUGCCUUACAGAGGGUAGGGAAGCAGGGUGGAAUUGCAGACCUAGGAGGAGAUGCGAUUGGCUGAGGUCUGGGGAAUUUCUUUCCCGUCUUUCAUACACAUGAGUCCACUUUGGACUUGAGGAGAACAGAGCCAGUCCUGGGAGCCCUAGCGGUGGAGAGAGAGUUCAUUCAUUCACCCUUUCAUCUUUUCAUUCAGCAGUAGAAGGACCUGUGCUGACAUAUGUUCUCCUAGGAAGGAAGACCCAGUGUGCUGCAUUCCCGUGCCUAAGCACCCAGUGUUCACGUAAAACUCUGUCAGAGUAUGAAGCACAGUCAAAGACUGCCUGGCCUCCAGACUACUUCCCUGCCCUAGUGGCUGAGGUGGGCUCCUCGGGUUGGACUCAGGCUGAGCAGCUGCUACAGGCCUAAAGCCCAUGGACAGGAUGCCCAGACCAGGGGUACAGAGCCUGAGCCCCACCCUCUCCUGCUCAGCCUGGGCCAGCUCCCCUCACCUCUCACUGCCAACUCACUAUCUCCACUUGGGCUAGUGAUCGGCCUCUUAAGCCUGGUGUGCUCACGAGGGCAGCCCCCAAACUGCCUGGUGUGCUCACGAGGGCAGCCCCCAAGCUGCCACUCCUGUAGUCUCCUCCCUGCUUGUCUAACCACAAUCACCUCCGCCCACACAGCCAGGCAAACCCCUUCGAGUCAUCCAUUCAUUGCUCACCCGGUGUCUCUGCCAGAAAAUGCCCUCAGCUCUACCCUUAGCUUGUGUGUAUUCAGAGGAGCUCAGAGUGGCGGCUCACGCCUGUCAUCCCAGCGCUUGGAAGGCAGACGCAGAACAGUCAUCAAAUUCAAAGCCAGCCUGGUCUACACAGUGAAUUCCAGGCUAGCCAAGGUUACAGAGCAACAACCUGUCUCAAGAGAGAAAAUAAUAACAAAAAGCAUAUCUUCACAUGGAAGCUCCUCUUUUUUUAAAAAAAAAAUCUUGAUUAAUGUUAAUUAUGUGCAGGUGCCAAGUGGCCAGAGGAAUUGGAUCCGCCAAGAGCUGGAGUUGCAGGCAGUUGUGAGACACCUGAUGUGGUUGCUGGUUGGUUUCAGAACUCAAGUCCGAAAGAGUAGUACAUGCUCUUAACCACUGAGCCAUCCCUCCAGCCCCCCAGGAGCCACGCUGCACGCCUGGUCCCAGCCGGCGUUGGCACUCACUGGCUGCUUCCUUCAGUUCCAGGCAUCACAGCCGAUUGAUUUUAUUAAGAAGUGAGUCAGAUCAUGCCAUUUGCCUGGUCCCCCGUUCUUCAGAGGAAAAACCGAAGUCGUCUGUGGUGGCCUUUACCCACCUCUACCUGCCCCGUCUCAUCUCCGAUACCGCUCAUUUGGGUCAGCUACUGGCUUUGUUCUGUGAUUACACAACCCAUGUACCGGCCCCAGGGCCUUUGUACUGGCUGUUCUCUCUUGGCACCUUCUCCCCCCAAGUGCCACCUUCUUCAGUUCUUCAUGAGGGUUCCCCUCCAGACAGCCUUCCUUCCUUCUGGACCUCCAUGCUGAUCGCUGUCAGUGCCCAGAUCUUGCUUUCUAAUCCAUUCUGUGCUGAGAGGACCCAUGGCUUCUUGGAGAAAUGGCUGCUUCUUGGACUAGGACAGGAAAUAGGCAAGAUGUGACCAGAGUAUCUGAAUGCCUCAGAAAGGAAGGAGGAAUUGGAGACAGGAGUCACCCGAACGUGGAUGUGUCCAGCGGUGCUGGAGCCACCGUACGGCACAGCAGGUAGGGCUGGAUUGUGUGACCCAGAGGUAAGACACAUUUGCCAGCUUGUGACAGUCAGUGGGAGAGAAGAACCCAGGUGUCACGUGGCACGGAAUGUCACGUGGCUCCUCACACAGGCAUUACCAGCCAGGGUCGAGGUCAACAGCAACAAGUUAGACUGUGGACCAAGGUGUGAAAGAAAUGGCACUGUCCCUUUGUCACCUGGCUCCCCAGGGCUCACAACCCCGGUUUAGUCGUGUGAAGAAACAGCAGACAAAAAAAAUUUUUAGCUGUAUUUUUUUAUAUUUUGGGACAGGGUUUUGUGUAGCCCUGGCUGGCUUUGAACUCACUGUGUAACUGAGGAUUGCCUUGAACUUCUGACUCUCCUGCCCCCACCUCUAACAUACUGGAAUUAUGGGGGUGUUCUGCCAUACCCAGCUUCCAGCAGGCAAAUUUUGGUUUGAGGGCAUCUACAAAAUACCUGACUGGGAUCCCUCAAAACUACUAGAAUCAUCAAAGUGAGAACUGCUCUGGCCGAGAGAAGCCUCUAGAGGGGAAACAAUGAAAUGGAAUGUGGUAUGUGGAGGGGUUCCGGGACGGAAAGGGCUUAGUGGACAAAGGUCUGGUGAAAGGACUCGAGAAGUUUCCAUGGCUAAUAAUUACUACUGGGUGUGGUGACACUAUACCUUAACUCAAAAGCUGAGGCAGGAGGAUGGUGAGUUUGAGACCAGCUUGAGCU